AAGAAAGAAAGAAAGAAAAAAGAGGAACCAGAUUUCAUGGUGCAUGGGUCAUAAAGAAGAAAGUGGGGGUGGGGAGGCACAGUUGACAACCCCUUCAAGACAUUUGUGCUCAACACACAAAAAAAGCACAGGAUGAUAACUGAUGGGCUUGGCAAUAUCAGGAUGAAUUUCCAGGCAGGGGGAAGCCUCGGUAUAUUUCUAGAAAAAAGGAGAAAGAAAGAACUAGUGGAACAGAAAAAAAUAUAGACAAACCAGACAAGGAACAGGUAUUUCCCUUCAGGUAUAAAGUUCCAGAAAAGGCAAAAAGAAAGAGGUUGAAACAUAAAAGACAUGAUCAGAUCAGCAAAGGAGAUGAGACUCUAAGAGCUGCUUUUCUUGAACUAACAAGAAUCCCUGGUGCGUUUUGGAAGAGGCCUGCAGGUGACCGUGGACACAAAUGACACACAUCAUUCCCCCAACCACACCUCUUCCAGGCACUGGUCCCUUGGGGCAUGAAACAAUACUUGAAAACCACUGCUUUACCCUAAAUGAUUUAGUUAGGAGGAGAGCUUAUACACAAACCCCCCCACUUUUUUUUAAUAAAUGAAAAAAGAAAAAGACCUAAAGAAUGAAGUUCUCCAUAAAAUAAAAAUUAAGACCAUCUGGCCACAUGAUUUCACCACAUCAAGAUUUCAAACCAGCCACUUUGGGAAACAGCCUGGCAGUUUGUCAAAAAGUUUAAUGCAGCAUUCCCGUAUGACCCAGCCAUCCCACUUUUAGGUAUACACCCAAGGUAACUGAAAACAUACGUGCACACAAGAACCUGUACACAGACGUUCACAGCCAAAAAGGGGAAACGACCCAAGCCGUCCAUCCGUUGGUGGAUGGAUAAAUAACAUGCAGCGAAGCCAAACAGAAGAACACUAUUCAACCUUAAAAAGGAAUGCAGCGCUAAUAAAUGCUAAAAUGCGGAUGAAACUCAAAAACACAAUGCUGAGUGAAAGAAGCCAGGUGCCAAGGCCGCAUCGUGUAUGAUUCCAUUUAUACACAACGUCCAGAUUAGGCAAAUCCAGGAAGAUAAGAGAGCAGGUCAGUGGUUGCAGGGGAUGGGGUGGGGGCAAGGCAGGGAGAGUGGCCAGGGAUUGCUAAUGGGUGUGGGGUUUCUUUUGGGAUUGAUGAAAAUGUCCUAGAUUAGAUAGUGCCGAUGACUGCACAACGGUGUCAAUAUACGAAACACCACUGAACCUCCCACUUUAGAAUAAAUAAACAAAAAGUUUCCAACUAGACCUGCUGAUGACUUGAGUAAGAAGGAAGAUACAGGAACCCAUACACACGCCUAACCCUGCUUCUUCCCAAAUCUGUGUUGCCUUGAAAUGAGGCCAGAGCUGACAUGAAACCACAGAAGCCCAGUCCACUCCUGGUCACAUGCUCAGAGGAAUAACAACGAUGAGUGACUGUAACUAGAAUUUACAGGGCGCUUACUGUGUGUCAGACGCUCGACUAACCACUGUACGCGGCUUAGCUCAUUUCAUUUCUCGCUGCAACCCUUUGAGGUACACACUGUUAUCCUCCCCAUUUUACAGAUGAGGAAAUUAAGGCACAAAUAAGUUUCCUAAUUAGUGCCCGGUCACCCAGUUGGGAUCUUCAACCCCAGGCAAUCUGACUCACGAACACCAUGCCAUUCCGUCCCCGAACGACUCUGUCUUCUUAAGAUCCCUUGCAAAAUUCAUCGACUUAACGAUGUAAACCGGGGCAGGUCAAGAGUUUAAAAUAACCAACACUAUUAACUCAAAUAGCCAUCUGGGGAUGGAAAAUUGGAAAGACCCAAGGCACCAAGGAUGAGUGCUGUUAUUUCUCGUUACAGUGAAUGUUGACAAGCUGCACGUACAAUCGAGCAUGAAAUUCUAGAUUGCUGCCUACUUCUUUUAAGAUUUGGAGUGGUUUACUAGACACCCCCCUGCCCAUAGUACCCUCAUAAUCUAGGUUUCUGGCUGAAACCGUCAGCAAGAGUGUGUACAAUUGUUUCUAUAGAUAAGACGAACAUGACACGUAAAUUCACAUACGUGUGCGCUCACUGCACAGGCAGAUGGUCAAUUUGAAAUCCUAAAUCCUAGGAGUGGGGGAUGAAUAAGCACAAAGCAAUCCAAGAGAACUGCCGGGGUGGGGAGAGGCUUGGGAACCAGCAAUUAGGAGGGGGCAGGAAGGAUAAAGGUCACUCCUUGAGGCGAGCUUGGGGGGAAUCAGAAGGUUGGAUCGUUCCCAGAGCUGCCAGGAUGCCUGUCUGAUUAAAUCAACGAGCAAGGAGUGUUUCAUAUGCUGGAAAAUGCCAGCGGACAGGCAGUGAGGGGUGACGUAAGGCCUCAAAAGUCAAGGGAAGUGUUGGGACUUGACAGAGGAGGAAAAGCACGCAAUGCGGAGCGUCCAACUUUCUGCUGGGGCGAAGCAGAAACGCACGGUCGCCCGCGUCACCGAAAUCCACCUGGUGAAUCCACGGCGACCACGCGUCACCCAGUGGGACCCGCCGCGACCUCCCCCCUCCACCCCCCGCGGCCCGCGCCCCUCCCAGGUCCCUCCCCGCGGGCGCAGGGAUGCCUGGGUGGCUCAGUGGUUGAACGUCUGCCUUUGGCUCAGGGCAUGAUCCCAGGGUCCUGGGAUCGAGACCCACAUCGGGGACCUUUGCCUGUCUCUCCACCUGUCCCCGUGCCUCUCAUGAAUAAAUAAAUAAAAAUCUUUAAAACUA
Molecule: long non-coding RNA, 2719 nt
Organism: Nyctereutes procyonoides (raccoon dog)
Lineage: Eukaryota; Metazoa; Chordata; Mammalia; Carnivora; Canidae
Exons: 3
Source: RefSeq, a predicted model, not a curated record